RNAcentral lists this ribosomal RNA (450 nucleotides) under uncultured bacterium. RNAcentral's name for it is "partial 16S ribosomal RNA". It matches the Rfam family "Bacterial small subunit ribosomal RNA", at positions 354 to 796 of the family's 1533-position model. The record is from RNAcentral.
GUGGGGAAUUUUGGACAAUGGGCGCAAGCCUGAUCCAGCAAUGCCGCGUGCAGGAAGAAGGCCUUCGGGUUGUAAACUGCUUUUGUACGGAACGAAACGGUCCGGGCUAAUACCCUGGGCUAAUGACGGUACCGUAAGAAUAAGCACCGGCUAACUACGUGCCAGCAGCCGCGGUACUACGUAGGGUGCAAGCGUUAAUCGGAAUUACUGGGCGUAAAGCGUGCGCAGGCGGUUUUGUAAGACAGGCGUGAAAGCCCCGGGCUCAACCUGGGAAUUGCGCUUGUGACUGCAAGGCUGGAGUGCGGCAGAGGGGGAUGGAAUUCCGCGUGUAGCAGUGAAAUGCGUAGAUAUGCGGAGGAACACCGAUGGCGAAGGCAAUCCCCUGGGCCUGCACUGACGCUCAUGCACGAAAGCGUGGGGAGCAAACAGGAUUAGAAACCCUUGUAGUCC